Molecule: microRNA precursor, 107 nt
Filed under: Populus trichocarpa (black cottonwood)
Lineage: Eukaryota; Viridiplantae; Streptophyta; Magnoliopsida; Malpighiales; Salicaceae
Description: MIR6450 microRNA precursor family
Rfam family: MIR6450 microRNA precursor family
Source: Rfam by way of RNAcentral
AGGACCUAAUUCUCUUAGGUCCGUCGUCUGGACCCAAUUCUCUUGGGUGCUGCGCUAGGACCCAAUUCUUUUGGGUUCGGUAUCAGGACCUAAGCCUAAUGGGUCCU